CGUAGGUGACCUGCGGAGGAUCAUUGUCGAUGCCUAAAACGUCAAACGACCCGCGAACGCGUUUAUUAACAAACCGUCCGCGUCGGGGGCGGGGGGGAGGCGAGCACGCUGUUUGCCUGCCUCCUCCUCCUCCCCCUCCCGGCGCGUCUAAAACAAAACCCCGGCGCAGGUCGCGCCAAGGAGCUUGAAACGAAUUCGCCCGCCCCCCCGCCCCGGCCUCGGCGUGCGGGGGGCGGAGCAUUCUAGUCGU
Molecule: unclassified non-coding RNA, 250 nt
Filed under: Cucumis hystrix
Lineage: Eukaryota; Viridiplantae; Streptophyta; Magnoliopsida; Cucurbitales; Cucurbitaceae
Description: sequence contains ITS1
Source: RNAcentral